UUAUUGCUCCCUCCGUCCGGAAAUACUUGUCCUAGAGAUGAAUGUAUCUAGACUUAUUUUAGUUAUAGAUACAUUCAUUUUAUUCAUUUUUAGGACAAGUAUUUCCGGACGGAGGGAGUAUAAA
RNAcentral lists this microRNA precursor (124 nucleotides) under Hordeum vulgare. RNAcentral describes it as "microRNA MIR1122". It matches the Rfam family "MIR1120/MIR1122 microRNA precursor family". Lineage: Eukaryota; Viridiplantae; Streptophyta; Magnoliopsida; Poales; Poaceae. The record is from RNAcentral.